Molecule: long non-coding RNA, 513 nt
Filed under: Nicotiana tabacum (common tobacco)
Lineage: Eukaryota; Viridiplantae; Streptophyta; Magnoliopsida; Solanales; Solanaceae
Description: long non-coding RNA (NTAB_LNC002517)
Source: RNAcentral
AAACAACUAGAAUUUCGCGCGAUUCCCAUAUUUUUGUGUGUUAUAGCCCACGCCUUCCGAGUGGUCCCGGGACCUCUGGACCCCUAUCAUCUAAUAUUUUUCCGGACUAUCAAAUAAGACCUAAGGAACCAUAGUCACCACCCUGUCAAGAUCUUUCCACAUUUUUUGCAUGUUACUGAAAAAGACCUAGAAUUUUGCCCGAUUCCCAUAUUUUCGUGUGCUAUUGCCCACGUCUUCCGAGUGGUCCCAAGAGCCACGGACCCCGAUCGCCUAAAAAUUUUCCGGGCAAUCAAAUACGACCUAAGGAACCAUAGUAUCCUCCAUGCCAUGAUCGUUCCUUAUUUUUUGCAUUUUUUGGCAAACAACUAGAAUUCCACGCGAUUCCCAUAUUUUUGUUUUUUAUAGCCCACACAUUCCGAGUGGUCCCGGGACCUCUGGACCCCUAUCGCCUAAAAAUUUUCCGGACUAUCAAAUAUGACCUAAGGAACCAUAGUAUCCGCCCCGCCAUGAUCG